RNAcentral lists this ribosomal RNA (1263 nucleotides) under metagenome. Its description in RNAcentral is "bacterial SSU rRNA". It matches the Rfam family "Bacterial small subunit ribosomal RNA", at positions 75 to 1333 of the family's 1533-position model. The record is from RNAcentral.
GGGGGCAACCCUGGCGGCGAGCGGCGAACGGGUGAGUAAUGUAUCGCAACGUACCCUGUCGUGGGGGAUAACACAGCGAAAGCUGUGCUAAUACCGCAUACGACCUGAGGGUGAAAGCGGGGGAUCGCAAGACCUCGCGCGAUAGGAGCGGCCGAUAUCGGAUUAGCUUGUUGGUGAGGUAAAGGCUCACUAAGGCGACGAUCCGUAGCUGGUCUGAGAGGACGACCAGCCACACUGGAACUGAGACACGGUCCAGACUCCUACGGGAGGCAGCAGUGGGGAAUUUUGGACAAUGGGGGCAACCCUGAUCCAGCCAUUCCGCGUGAGUGAAGAAGGCCUUCGGGUUGUAAAGCUCUUUCAGCAGGAACGAAACGGUGGCUACUAAUACUAGCUACUAAUGACGGUACCUGAAGAAGAAGCACCGGCUAACUACGUGCCAGCAGCCGCGGUAAUACGUAGGGUGCGAGCGUUAAUCGGAAUUACUGGGCGUAAAGCGUGCGCAGGCGGUUAUGUAAGACAGGUGUGAAAUCCCCGGGCUUAACCUGGGAACUGCGCUUGUGACUGCAUAACUCGAGUGUGGCAGAGGGGGGUGGAAUUCCACGUGUAGCAGUGAAAUGCGUAGAGAUGUGGAGGAACACCGAUGGCGAAGGCAGCCCCCUGGGUCAACACUGACGCUCAUGCACGAAAGCGUGGGGAGCAAACAGGAUUAGAUACCCUGGUAGUCCACGCCCUAAACGAUGCGAACUAGGUGUUGGGGAAGGAGACUUUCUUAGUACCGCAGCUAACGCGUGAAGUUCGCCGCCUGGGGAGUACGGUCGCAAGAUUAAAACUCAAAGGAAUUGACGGGGACCCGCACAAGCGGUGGAUGAUGUGGAUUAAUUCGAUGCAACGCGAAAAACCUUACCUACCCUUGACAUGUCAGGAAGUCCGCUGAGAGGUGGAUGUGCUCGAAAGAGAACCUGAACACAGGUGCUGCAUGGCUGUCGUCAGCUCGUGUCGUGAGAUGUUGGGUUAAGUCCCGCAACGAGCGCAACCCUUGUCAUUAAUUGCCAUCAUUCAGUUGGGCACUUUAAUGAGACUGCCGGUGACAAACCGGAGGAAGGUGGGGAUGACGUCAAGUCCUCAUGGCCCUUAUGGGUAGGGCUUCACACGUCAUACAAUGGUCGGUACAGAGGGUCGCCAACCCGCGAGGGGGAGCCAAUCCCACAAAGCCGAUCGUAGUCCGGAUCGCAGUCUGCAACUCGACUGCGUGAAGUCGGAAUC